GUGGCAGUAGCUCAGUGGUAGAGCUCCCGCUUUGUACGCGGCAAGACCGGGGUCGAUUUCCGGCUGCUUUC
This 71-nucleotide transfer RNA is filed under the name Toxocara canis (dog roundworm). It matches the Rfam family "tRNA". From Rfam's summary of the family: Transfer RNA (tRNA) molecules are approximately 80 nucleotides in length. The record is from Rfam by way of RNAcentral. Lineage: Eukaryota; Metazoa; Nematoda; Chromadorea; Rhabditida; Toxocaridae.